Long non-coding RNA from Gekko japonicus, 194 nucleotides. RefSeq lists it as uncharacterized. The record is from RefSeq and is a predicted model, not a curated record. NCBI's taxonomy places the organism in Eukaryota, Metazoa, Chordata, Lepidosauria, Squamata, Gekkonidae. The transcript has 3 exons.
GGCUGUGAUCAUUGUGGUAACUGUGGCUUUCAUUCAGGAACACCGAUCUGAAAAGUCCUUGCAAGAGCUUAACAAGUUAGUCCCGCCAGAGUGCAACUGUGUGAGGGAAGGAAAACUGCAACAUCUUCUGGCCCGAGAACUUGUACCUGGGGACGUUGUAUGCCUUUCCAUGGGAGACCGGGUGCCAGCAGAUA